RNAcentral lists this ribosomal RNA (492 nucleotides) under uncultured bacterium. Its description in RNAcentral is "partial 16S ribosomal RNA". It matches the Rfam family "Bacterial small subunit ribosomal RNA", at positions 29 to 507 of the family's 1533-position model. The record is from RNAcentral.
AGUGAACGCUGGCGGUAGGCCUAACACAUGCAAAUCGAACGGCAGCACAGUAAGAGCUUGCUCUUACGGGUGGCGAGUGGCGGACGGGUGAGGAAUACAUCGGAAUCUACUUUUUCGUGGGGGAUAACGUAGGGAAACUUACGCUAAUACCGCAUACGACCUACGGGUGAAAGCAGGGGAUCUUCGGACCUUGCGCGAUUGAAUGAGCCGAUGUCGGAUUAGCUAGUUGGCGGGGUAAAGGCCCACCAAGGCGACGAUCCGUAGCUGGUCUGAGAGGAUGAUCGGCCACACUGGAACUGAGACACGGUCCAGACUCCUACGGGAGGCAGCAGUGGGGAAUAUUGGACAAUGGGCGCAAGCCUGAUCCAGCCAUACCGCGUGGGUGAAGAAGGCCUUCGGGUUGUAAAGCCCUUUUGUUGGGAAAGAAAAGCAGCAGGUUAAUACCCCGCUGUUCUGACGGUACCCAAAGAAUAAGCACCGGCUAACUUCGUG